Molecule: ribosomal RNA, 51 nt
Filed under: uncultured eukaryote
Lineage: Eukaryota
Description: partial 5.8S ribosomal RNA
Source: RNAcentral
AAAAUUCUUAACGGUGGAUCACUCGGCUCACAUUCGAUGAAGCCCGCAGCU